This 1626-nucleotide long non-coding RNA is filed under the name Salmo salar (Atlantic salmon). RNAcentral describes it as "lncRNA (ENSSSAG00000114296.1)". The record is from RNAcentral. Lineage: Eukaryota; Metazoa; Chordata; Actinopteri; Salmoniformes; Salmonidae.
AUGAUCCUGUCUGGGUGUAGAGUUGUAAUAUAAUGAUCCUGUCUGGGUGGUAGAGUUGUAAUAUAAGGAUCCUGUCUGGAUGGUAGAGUUGUAAUAUAAUGAUCCAGUCUGGAUGGUAGAGUUGUAAUAUAAUGAUCCAGUCUGGAUGGUAGAGUUGUAAUAUAAGGAUCCUGUCUGGGUGGUAGAGUUGUAAUAUAAUGAUUCUGUCUGGAUGGUACAGUUGUGUGUGGUUGGGCGGAGGAAUCAGAAGAUGUUUGUGGUCGAUGGCGUCAGCGUAGGACAGUGUGAUGUUGAAAUGUGUUGUGUGCUGUUGCUAAGUGUCCUGCCCACUGCCACCUUCCAGCAUGACUGGGCUGUUUUGUAGUCCUUUACUGCUCGUUUUCAUGCAUGAUCCCAAAUGGCACCCUAUUCCCUAUGUAGUGCAGCACCCUAUUCCCUAAAGUAGUGCACUAUAUAGGAAAUAGGGUGCCAUUUGGGACACAGGCGUGGUCUCCGGCACACUGGUACGGUAUUCAUGCAUGAUUCAACAAUGUGUUUUAUACAUCUCAAACCUACAGUUUUGUCAAUAGACAUUUAUCAGGGAUUUCAUUUCUAUUUCAAACACUGAGUUUGUUCCUCCGUGCAGGUAGAUUUGCAGUACAGGUGUGCUAACAGUCCUCUUUUCAGCAGGUUAACAUCACACACUGAGUUUGUUCCAUCGUGCAGGUAGAUUUGCAGUACAGGUGUGCUAACAGUCCUCUUUUCAGCAGGUUAACAUCAAACAUGCUUCCUGCCCUCAGAGCAUCACACACACACACACACACACACACACACACACACACACACACACACACACACUCACACACUCUCACACACACACACACUCUCACACACACACUCUCACACACACUCUCUCUCACACACACGCAGACACACACACACUCUCACACACACACUCUCUCACACACACACACUCUCACACACACACUCUCUCACACACACACACACUCUAACUCACAAACGCUUCUCUGCACAGAUUCUCUUUUUUAUUAAAAGCUGUAAUAUAUUGAUAACGUCCCAAAUGGUUCCCUAUUCCCUAUAUAGUGCACUACUUUUGAUAGGGCCCUGGUCAGAAGUAGGUAACAGGGUACCAUUUGAGAUGCGCCGUACUCACUAGGCGGUACCACAUGCCCGAGCCACCCAGAGUUUUAACUUCACAGAAGGAAUGUGCCCCGGACAGAUUGUUGUGCUUAUCGUUGCGCCGCCCAGGCCUGACGUUUUUUUAUUUUAUUUUCUAUUUGCUAUUGCUGGUUUCCAUAGAAACAUAAUCUGUCCGUCUUUCUCGGUAGUAGUGGGCUGGUCAGCAGGCCUACCGGUCGUUUGUUGCAGUCGUCACAGUAACGGCGUGGAGCACAACACGAGACUGGAAUGCACAGUUACGCUGCUGUUUCUGAUGGCAUUUACUGACCUGUAGACCUCUCCUUCCUGUUCACCCUCCACUCCACUCUUCCCUCCCUCCCUCUAUCCUCCACCCCCCUCUUCCCUCCCACCAUUCAUCCCUCCAUCCUCCCCUCUUCCCACCAUCCUCCAUCCAUCCCUCCAUCCUCCACCCCCCUCUUCCAUCCAUCCCUCUAUCCUCCUCUUCCC